Molecule: ribosomal RNA, 460 nt
Filed under: uncultured bacterium
Lineage: Bacteria
Description: partial 16S ribosomal RNA
Rfam family: Bacterial small subunit ribosomal RNA
Source: RNAcentral
CCUACGGGAGGCAGCAGUGAGGAAUAUUGGUCAAUGGACGAGAGUCUGAACCAGCCAAGUAGCGUGAAGGAUGACUGCCCUAUGGGUUGUAAACUUCUUUUAUAUGGGAAUAAAAUGUUCCACGUGUGGGAUUUUGUAUGUACCAUAUGAAUAAGGAUCGGCUAACUCCGUGCCAGCAGCCGCGGUAAUACGGAGGAUCCGAGCGUUAUCCGGAUUUAUUGGGUUUAAAGGGAGCGUAGGUGGAUUGUUAAGUCAGUUGUGAAAGUUUGGGGCUCAACCGUAAAAUGGCAGUUGAAACUGGCAGUCUUGAGUACAGGAGAGGUGGGCGGAAUGCGUGGUGUAGCGGUGAAAUGCUUAGAUAUCACGAAGAACUCCGAUUGCGAAGGCAGUUCACUGGACUGCAACUGACACUGAGGCUCGAAAGUGUGGGUAUCAAACAGGAUUAGAUACCCCAGUAGUC